RNAcentral lists this unclassified non-coding RNA (247 nucleotides) under Hevea brasiliensis (rubber tree). The record is from RNAcentral. Lineage: Eukaryota; Viridiplantae; Streptophyta; Magnoliopsida; Malpighiales; Euphorbiaceae.
AUCUGACUGUCUAGAUGAAUGCUACAAAGGGAUGUAUAAAGCUUAUGUUUUGAACUGCCAAUUUGUAAAUGCAACCAAGUUACAACACAUUCAAUUUCUUGGAAAUUGUGUCAUCGAACUUUUUCGUGUUGAUCUUUCGGUAGCUUAUCAACAUGCAUUUCUUUUCAUCCGUCAAUUAGCAAUGAUCCUCAGAGAGGCAUUAAACACAAGAACUAAGGAAGCAUUUCGAAAGGUUUAUGAAUGGAAG